AGAUAAGAUACUUUUUUGAUAGGACUUUUUUUACAUAAUUAUAAUAGUUGAGAAUUUUGAAGGUAUAUAUUUAUAAGAGUAAAAAUAUUAUUUAUUUAACUACUGUUAAAAAAAUAAACAAUACUCUAUACGGUAAUAAAUUAUAGAGACAAAUAUGACUAUCACGAGACUUUUUUAUAAAAAUAAAGUUGAACUUUGUAAAAAUAUAUUUGCUAUUCGAUAUGUUUACAAAGAGUUAUAUAUAAUUAACACUAAUAAUUAAAAAAUUAUAUUGACAGUAAAAUAAAAUUAAACACGUCAU
RNAcentral lists this long non-coding RNA (301 nucleotides) under Ananas comosus (pineapple). RNAcentral describes it as "long non-coding RNA (ACOM_LNC018515)". The record is from RNAcentral. Lineage: Eukaryota; Viridiplantae; Streptophyta; Magnoliopsida; Poales; Bromeliaceae.